UACGACUCUCGGCAACGGAUAUCUCGGCUCUCGCAUCGAUGAAGAACGUAGCGAAAUACGAUACUUGGUGUGAAUUGCAGAAUUCCGUGAACCAUCGAGUUUUUGAACGCAAGUUGCGCCCAAAGCCAUUAGGCUAAGGGCACGUCUGCCUGGGCGUCACGC
Molecule: ribosomal RNA, 162 nt
Filed under: Psychotria cordobensis
Lineage: Eukaryota; Viridiplantae; Streptophyta; Magnoliopsida; Gentianales; Rubiaceae
Description: 5.8S ribosomal RNA
Rfam family: 5.8S ribosomal RNA
About the family: 5.8S ribosomal RNA (5.8S rRNA) is a component of the large subunit of the eukaryotic ribosome.
Source: RNAcentral